ACCAGUCAUUGUCAAUAUUCCACCUUCAUUCUUAAAAGCUUGUCUUGCACAAGAAGCAAUUGCAAGUAUAUGGUCAAAAAGCAGCGGAACUGGCCCAUCAGGGUCUUCUGCGAUAUGGAAGUGGUAAGAAAACUUUUCCCAUAGGAUUUGCCCAUGGGACCCGUUUAGAGUCACCUCCAGCAUGAAGCAACAGUAUGUGCUUUUUGGCCACAAAUC
RNAcentral lists this unclassified non-coding RNA (216 nucleotides) under Hevea brasiliensis (rubber tree). The record is from RNAcentral. Lineage: Eukaryota; Viridiplantae; Streptophyta; Magnoliopsida; Malpighiales; Euphorbiaceae.